Molecule: long non-coding RNA, 578 nt
Organism: Chenopodium quinoa (quinoa)
Lineage: Eukaryota; Viridiplantae; Streptophyta; Magnoliopsida; Caryophyllales; Amaranthaceae
Exons: 2
Source: RefSeq, a predicted model, not a curated record
AUUUGGAGUUUAUAAAUAGGGACUAAGUUCAGUGAGCCUGAGUAGGAAGCAAAGAAGAAAGGACACUUAUCUUUGAGGCAGAGUUUGAUUAUACUCCCUUUCAUUACGUCACUUGGAAUGCAUAGAUGAAGAUGCAAAAUAUGGUUCCUGCUACGUUGGUGUGCACAUUUAUGUUGCCUGGACUUGCUGGUGCAGUUUUAAGGCUUCUUUCUAUUCUACUGUUGGGUAAAAUGCAAAUUUCUUUGAAUGUGCUGAUAUUGUUGUGCAUGUGUGGUUUGUGCUGUUUGGGUUUAGGUUUUUAAGGUCCAUGUUGUUUGGUUUUAUUCAAGCAUAUGUAGUGUUGAAGAUUGAUUUUCUGUUUUCCUGUUUUUGGUGGUCUUGCAGCUUUGGUGGCUGUUUAAUCCCAUCAGAAAGAAGUGUUCUUUUAAGUGAUGUUCUUUCUCUUUGUCUUUAAAGAUUUCAUUUUCAUUAUGCUUAGAUGGUUAGAUAUAUAGUUUUCAUAAGGUUGUGAUUGUGUUAAAUUAGUAUGAAGUAUGCCAUUGUUUUUUAUUUAAUUGUAAAAGAUUGAAUUCCUGUCA